CCGCCGGCGACCGGCGCACGGGUGAGUAACACGUAUGCAACCUGGCCGUGACAGAUGGAUAACCGGGAGAAAUCCCGCCUAAUACAACAUAAUGCCGGGAGGGGACAUCCCCUGCCGACCAAAGGGGGCGACCCCGGUCACGGAUGGGCAUGCGGCGCAUUAGGUAGUUGGUGGGGCAACGGCCCACCAAGCCGACGAUGCGUAGGGGUUCUGAGAGGAAGGUCCCCCACAUUGGAACUGAGACACGGUCCAAACUCCUACGGGAGGCAGCAG
Molecule: ribosomal RNA, 273 nt
Filed under: uncultured bacterium
Lineage: Bacteria
Description: partial 16S ribosomal RNA
Rfam family: Bacterial small subunit ribosomal RNA
Source: RNAcentral